GACGAACGCUGGCGGCGCGCCUAACACAUGCCAGUCGAACGAGCGAGAGAGAGCUUGCUUUCUCGAGCGAGUGGCGAACGGGUGAGUAACGCGUGAGGAACCUGCCUCAAAGAGGGGGACAACAGUUGGAAACGACUGCUAAUACCGCAUAAGCCCACGGCUCGGCAUCGAGCAGGGGGAAAAGGAGCAAUCCGCUUUGAGAUGGCCUCGCGUCCGAUUAGCUAGUUGGUGAGGUAACGGCCCACCAAGGCGACGAUCGGUAGCCGGACUGAGAGGUUGAACGGCCACAUUGGGACUGAGACACGGCCCAGACUCCUACGGGAGGCAGCAGUGGGGAAUAUUGCACAAUGGGGGAAACCCUGAUGCAGCGACGCCGCGUGGAGGAAGAAGGUCUUCGGAUUGUAAACUCCUGUUGUUGGGGAAGAUAAUGACGGUACCCAACAAGGAAGUGACGGCUAACUACGUG
This 466-nucleotide ribosomal RNA is filed under the name uncultured bacterium. RNAcentral's name for it is "partial 16S ribosomal RNA". It matches the Rfam family "Bacterial small subunit ribosomal RNA", at positions 28 to 507 of the family's 1533-position model. The record is from RNAcentral.